UAAUACGUAGGGUGCGAGCGUUAAUCGGAAUUACUGGGCGUAAAGGGUGCGCAGGCGGAUAUAUAAGUUAGAUGUGAAAUACCCGAGCUUAACUUGGGAGGUGCAUUUAAGACUGUGUAUCUAGAGUUUGUCAGAGGGGGGUAGAAUUCCAAGUGUAGCAGUGAAAUGCGUAGAGAUUUGGAGGAAUACCGGUGGCGAAGGCGGCCCCCUGGGAUAGAACUGACGCUCAUGCACGAAAGCGUGGGUAGCAAACAGG
This 256-nucleotide ribosomal RNA is filed under the name uncultured bacterium. RNAcentral's name for it is "partial 16S ribosomal RNA". It matches the Rfam family "Bacterial small subunit ribosomal RNA", at positions 521 to 776 of the family's 1533-position model. The record is from RNAcentral.